This 885-nucleotide ribosomal RNA is filed under the name Triticum aestivum (bread wheat). RNAcentral describes it as "partial small subunit ribosomal RNA". Lineage: Eukaryota; Viridiplantae; Streptophyta; Magnoliopsida; Poales; Poaceae. The record is from RNAcentral.
AUGGAGGCGACGUCCAUCAGCAUUGGUAAGUCCGUACUGAACGGGGCGCUCAAAUACGCCCAGUCGGCUGUGGCGGAGGAGGUGUCUCUGCAGCUUGGUGUGCAGCGCGACCACUGCUUCAUUUCGGACGAGCUCGAGAUGAUGCAGUCAUUCCUGAUGGCUGCACACGAGGAGCGAGACGAUAACAAGGUGGUCAGGACUUGGGUGAAACAAGUCCGCGAUGUGUCCUACGCCGUCGAGGACUGUCUCCAUAAUUUCGCCGUUCGUCUUCAGAAGCAGUCCUGGUGGCGCAUCCCUCGCACGCUGCUAGACCGGCGUUGUGUGGCGAAGCAGAUGAAGGAGCUCAGAAUCAAGGUGGAGGAUGUCAGCCAGAGGAACCAACGGUACCACCUCAUCAAGGGUUCUAGCUCCAAGCCUACCUCUGUUGUUGGGCAGCCUACCAUCUCCAGUGCAACGAUGUCGGCUGCCGAUGAUGCAAGGCUACUGCAGCAGAAAGCAAAAAUGGAUCUCGUCAAGUUGAUCAAUUGCAAGGAUGAUGCACUUCGAGUGAUAGCUUUGUGGGGCACAAGUAGCAGUGAUCUGGGGGAGAUAUCCAUCGUCAAGAGUGCCUAUGAAGAUCUCAUCAUACACAAGAAUUUUAAUUGCUGUGCUUGGAUCACAUUGAUGUGCCCUUUCAAUCAGUCAGAUUUCAUUCGAAGCAUCAUUAGGCAAAUUUAUGUUAAUUCUCUUCAAGAAACAGGAAAAGAAGGAAAAUCAGCUAUUGGGGCCCAAGUUUUGAGGAUGAUGCCAACUAUGAAAGAAGAUGGUUUGGCUCAUGAGUUCAAGAGAUAUUUAAAUUUCAAGAGUUACCUAAUUGUACUCAAUGGCAUACACACCAUUGAAUAG